Molecule: ribosomal RNA, 253 nt
Filed under: uncultured bacterium
Lineage: Bacteria
Description: partial 16S ribosomal RNA
Rfam family: Bacterial small subunit ribosomal RNA
Source: RNAcentral
UACGGAGGGUGCAAACGUUGCUCGGAAUCAUUGGGCGUAAAGCGCACGUAGGCGGUCCAGCAAGUCGGGUGUGAAGGCCCUCGGCUUAACCGAGGAAGUGCAUUCGAAACUACUGGACUUGAAUACUGAAGAGGAUCGCGGAAUUCCCGGUGUAGAGGUGAAAUUCGUAGAUAUCGGGAGGAACACCAGUGGCGAAGGCGGCGAUCUGGGCAGAUAUUGACGCUGAGGUGCGAAAGCGUGGGGAGCAAACAGG